AUUCCAGUAGCGCAAUGGUAUCGCGUUGGACUUCUAAUCCAAAGGUCGUUGAUUUGAGUCCCACCUGGGAUG
Trichonephila clavata is the source of this 72-nucleotide non-coding RNA. The record is from the annotation of a GenBank genome assembly. Lineage: Eukaryota; Metazoa; Arthropoda; Arachnida; Araneae; Nephilidae.